UCUUGUGAUGUGACAACUGUGGAAUAACAUUUGGUCACAAAGCUGGUGUUAACAAGCACAACUGGCACUCUGGUAAUUAGACUGAUUCCUGGUCUACUUUCACAGAUUGUCGAUAAAUGCAGUAAACAACAGGCUGCUUUCUCUCAGAAGAAGUUAUAUGAAGUUGUCAUCCAUUUGAUGACCUGCAUUAGUGGAAAUCUGAACUGUAGUUUGGUGUUUCCACCCUCAUGGCAGAGUAAGAAGGAAUGAGAGCUCCUUCCCUAGGCCCUGUACCUCCUCCAAGCCCACAGCCUGGCUCUGCACAUAGGAAAAUGUGUGAAUGCUGUAACUCUGUCUCCUCCACUUGAAAGCAGAAGAAUUUAAUCAACUGAGGAGCUGAUCAUGGCUUUGGGACAGAGAGGAGGACUUGAGAGCUUCCAGGCAUCUCCUCUGCUCCAUCAGGUGCCUUUCUUCCCCAGGAGCUGCCUUCACAUCAGAGAGCACUCUGAAAGUUUUCUAGGUGUCAGACAAUCCUGGAGCCAAGAACCUCCAAACACGUUUCAUCCUCUGGUUUCCCUGAAACUUUAGUUACACCUUGAAGUUACUGGAAUACAUGUUCUGUUCAAGCAACCAUAUAUAAAAUUGCCUUGGGGAUCAGCUGAGACCUCGUGGAAGAAAUCUCAUUUGAAACAACAGGAAGGUACUUCACCUUGGCUCAAGCCACAGCACAACACAUGCCUUCUCCUCCUUCUCCAGCCCUGCUGUGAGUCAAAGGCAUUUUCAGAGCUGCUACUUUCCUGUGCUGAACAGCCUUGAGCCUCUUCCUGUUGCUCCAUCUU
Molecule: long non-coding RNA, 818 nt
Filed under: Lonchura striata (white-rumped munia)
Lineage: Eukaryota; Metazoa; Chordata; Aves; Passeriformes; Estrildidae
Description: domestica (Bengalese finch) lncRNA (ENSLSDG00000010899.1)
Source: RNAcentral